AGUGCAACCCCAUCCCUGAUUAUACAGCUCAGGUGCAGCUUGAGGAAACCACCAAUCCUCAACUUCUCCAGAGAGCAAUCAGUGCAAGACCUGUUACACACCUGACUGUGUCUGUGUACAAGGCAACAAAGAAUAUGUCUUCUGACCUGCAAUCUCGGAUGGAUGGUGAUCAGAGUCCAGCAGCGAGCGGAAGCGUAGGGCCACCUCGAUCUGUCCGGGGUGGGGCCGCAGCCUAUGAAUGUCUGCAGGAAGACACCAGAAAAUGAAGGAUGGAACGGAUACAGAAUCUUCAAGUUUGCGAUUUCCUCUGAAAUGUGGCACAUCUAAAAUGUUGAUGUAGCGGUCACUGGAAAAGCAGCAGAGAAAAUAGUUGCAGAGGCCAAAAGGAGGAGAUUGUACCCCGGUACCAGAGAGCACUCAGCCAGGAAUGUGAGGAGACAUACAAAGGACUCGACGUUGAUGCUGCAAUACUCCCGCUCCCCUACCUCUUCAAUGGAAAUCCAGUUGCUCCUGAAGGUAAGAGCACCAGCAGUCCUUCAUAGGUAGGGCUCUUGUAUACCUGCUGUGUUUUGUUUGUUUUAAUGGAACUGUGGAGUGUAUUACUCCUUUGGUGUGGUUUAUUUGGAUAGGUGAGUACAGAAAUACAUUAGUCCCAUCAUGCCUACUGGAAAUUGUGGGACUUUCUUUUGCUUAUCAGUCUUGCAAAUAAUAUAUUUCUAUAAUUUCUUAUUGCAUAUAAUUGGAUGAACAAUAUAACUUACUGCCAAAAACGCUGUUCAUGUGGUAAACAUGA
Long non-coding RNA from Sebastes umbrosus (honeycomb rockfish), 793 nucleotides. RefSeq lists it as uncharacterized. Lineage: Eukaryota; Metazoa; Chordata; Actinopteri; Perciformes; Sebastidae. The record is from RefSeq and is a predicted model, not a curated record. The transcript has 4 exons.